Non-coding RNA from Oryctolagus cuniculus (rabbit), 865 nucleotides. The record is from RefSeq and is a predicted model, not a curated record. Lineage: Eukaryota; Metazoa; Chordata; Mammalia; Lagomorpha; Leporidae.
CUGUUUUGUGUAAAUUUUACAUAAGUAUUUCCUUAUAGAGACUUUUGGGAUGAAAUUGGUAGUGUGACACAGCAGUUUCCCUCCUUGUCUCCUUGGUAUUUUGCAAAGCAGCACGCAAGCAGAUACAUAAUCUGGGAAUGAAAGGAUAAAGAGAAGCGGGACAUGCAGAUGUACGGAGUGAGUGAGAUGACAGAAUGAUACAGAACCCGCCUCUCUCACACUCUACGUGACAUGCAGGUGUAGCGAGUGAGAUGACAGAAUGAUACAGAACCCGCCUCUCUCACACUCUACGUGACAUGCAGGUGUAGGGAGAGUGAGAUGACAGAAUGAUACAGAACCCACCUCUCUCACACUCCGUGACAUGCAGGUGUAGGGAGUGAGAUGACAGAAUGAUACAGAACCCACCUCUCACACACUCCGUGACAUGCAGGUGUAGGAAUGAGUGAGAUGACAGAAUGAUACAGAACCCACCUCUCUCACACUCUCCUUGACAUGCAGGUGUAGGGAGUGAGAUGACAGAAUGAUACAGAACCCACCUCUCACACACUCCGUGACAUGCAGGUGUAGGGAGUGAGAUGACAGAAUGAUACAGAACCCGCCUCUCUCACACUCCGUGACAUGCAGGUGUAGGGAGAGUGAGAUGACAGAAUGAUACAGAACCCACCUCUCUCACACUCUACGUGACAUGCAGGUGUACGGAGUGAGAUGACAGAAUGAUACAGAACCUGCCUCUCUCACACACUCUCCGUGACAUGCAGGUGUAGCGAGUGAGAUGACAGAAUGAUACAGAACCCGCCUCUCACACACUCUCUGUGACAUGCAGGUGUAGGGAGUGAGAUGACAGAAUGAUACAGAACCCACCUCU